CGGCAUGUUCAUCAAUGUUCCAAGAAAACUCUCGAGGAUAUUCUUCGUGAUAUGCAUUUGAUCAAGGCUAUGAGGCGUGUCUAGUUUGGGCCAGUAUUCCAAGUCCCAGAAAAAGACCUUGUUUUCCAUACCUUCAGCAACGACUCUAGCACCUUUUCGUUCGUCUUUUCCGGCGAGGGGCACUUUUCCCAGUUCUUCAACAACUCAUCAAUUUUGAUGCCGCUACGCUUGCGUGGAGGUUCUCUAUGCUCAACCUUACCAUUGAAUAGAUCACCACGCUUUCUCCACGGGUCAUCCUUAUCGAUCCAUCUUCGAUGCCCCAUGUAUAUGAUUUUUGAAGACCCGCCAUUUUUUGAUAGAUGCUGGGACAUUCUAUUAUCCAUGCGCCGGGUGCAUCCACAAUAUCUGUGGCACACCUAGCACGACAUAUCCGUAACUGAUAUAGUCGUGCACCAUCGUGAUCAACACGACUCUCAUGUAAAAAUACUCUCAUGUUUUGGCGUCCCAUAUCUUGGUCGGCAUUGUCCAUAACGUGUCUAGCUCCUCUUUCAGUAACCUAAAAUACAAACUAAUACCAUUUCCCGGUUGUGUUGGCCUUAUAAUAAGC
RNAcentral lists this long non-coding RNA (607 nucleotides) under Hordeum vulgare. RNAcentral's name for it is "long non-coding RNA (HVUL_LNC012302)". The record is from RNAcentral. Lineage: Eukaryota; Viridiplantae; Streptophyta; Magnoliopsida; Poales; Poaceae.